UGGGGAAUAUUGGACAAUGGGGGCAACCCUGAUCCAGCCAUGCCGCGUGAGUGAUGAAGGCCUUCGGGUUGUAAAGCUCUUUUGGCGGGGACGAUGAUGACGGUACCCGCAGAAUAAGCCCCGGCUAACUUCGUGCCAGCAGCCGCGGUAAGACGAAGGGGGCUAGCGUUGUUCGGAAUUACUGGGCGUAAAGCGAGUGUAGGCGGUUGCCGUAGUCAGGUGUGAAAGCCUUGAGCUCAACUCAAGAAAUGCACUUGAUACUGGGUGACUAGAGGACCGGAGAGGAUAGUGGAAUUCCCAGUGUAGUGGUGAAAUACGUAGAGAUUGGGAAGAACACCAGUGGCGAAGGCGGCUAUCUGGACGGUUACUGACGCUAAGACUCGAAAGCGUGGGGAGCAAACAGGAUUAGAUACCCUGGUAGUCCACGCCGUAAACGAUGGGUGCUAGACGUUGGCGAGCUUG
RNAcentral lists this ribosomal RNA (462 nucleotides) under uncultured bacterium. RNAcentral's name for it is "partial 16S ribosomal RNA". It matches the Rfam family "Bacterial small subunit ribosomal RNA", at positions 355 to 834 of the family's 1533-position model. The record is from RNAcentral.